RNAcentral lists this ribosomal RNA (365 nucleotides) under uncultured bacterium. Its description in RNAcentral is "bacterial SSU rRNA". It matches the Rfam family "Bacterial small subunit ribosomal RNA", at positions 29 to 394 of the family's 1533-position model. The record is from RNAcentral.
AUUGAACGCUGGCGGCAUGCCUUACACAUGCAAGUCGAACGGCAGCACGGGGGCAACCCUGGUGGCGAGUGGCGAACGGGUGAGUAAUACAUCGGAACGUGCCCCGUAGCGGGGGACAACCAGUCGAAAGACUGGCUAAUACCGCAUACGCUCCACGGAGGAAAGCAGGGGAUCGCAAGACCUUGCACUAUGGGAGCGGCCGAUGCCCGAUUAGCUAGUUGGUGAGGUAAAGGCUCACCAAGGCAACGAUCGGUAGCUGGUCUGAGAGGACGACCAGCCACACUGGGACUGAGACACGGCCCAGACUCCUACGGGAGGCAGCAGGUGGGGAAUUUUGGACAAUGGGCGCAAGCCUGAUCCAGCCA